RNAcentral lists this ribosomal RNA (786 nucleotides) under uncultured Actinomycetes bacterium. RNAcentral's name for it is "bacterial SSU rRNA". It matches the Rfam family "Bacterial small subunit ribosomal RNA", at positions 60 to 824 of the family's 1533-position model. Lineage: Bacteria; Bacillati; Actinomycetota; Actinomycetes. The record is from RNAcentral.
AGUCGAACGCGAAAGCCCCCUUCGGGGGGCAAGUAGAGUGGCGCACGGGUGAGUAACACGUAGGUAAUCUACCUUUGGAUGGGGAAUAACCACCGGAAACGGUGGCUAAUACCGCAUAAUGCAGCGGCACCUAAUGGUGACAGUUGUUAAAGCGGGGGAUCGCAAGACCUCGCGUCUGAAGAGGAGCCUGCGGCGGAUUAGCUUGUUGGUAAGGUAACGGCUUACCAAGGCGAUGAUCCGUAGCCGGCCUGAGAGGGCGGUCGGCCACACUGACACUGACAUACGGGUCAGACUCCUACGGGAGGCAGCAGUCGGGAAUUUUGGGCAAUGGGCGAAAGCCUGACCCAGCAACGCCGCGUGAAGGAUGAAAUCCUUCGGGAUGUAAACUUCGCAAGAGCAGGAAGAAUAAGUAAGGGUUAAUAUCUCUUACGAUGACGGUACUGUUUGUAAGCUCCGGCUAACUCCGUGCCAGCAGCCGCGGUAAUACGGGGGGAGCAAGCGUUGUUCGGAUUUACUGGGCGUAAAGGGCGCGUAGGCGGCCACCGCAAGUCGACUGUGAAAUCUCCGGGCUUAACCCGGAAAGGUCAGCCGAUACUGCGGGGCUAGAGUGCAGAAGGGGCAACUGGAAUUCUCGGUGUAGCGGUGAAAUGCGUAGAUAUCGAGAGGAACACCUGCGGCGAAGGCGGGUUGCUGGGCUGACACUGACGCUGAGGCGCGAAAGCUAGGGGAGCGAACGGGAUUAGAUACCCCGGUAGUCCUAGCCUUAAACGAUGAAUGCUUGGUGUC